Molecule: ribosomal RNA, 422 nt
Filed under: uncultured Sulfurovum sp.
Lineage: Bacteria; Pseudomonadati; Campylobacterota; Epsilonproteobacteria; Campylobacterales; Sulfurovaceae
Description: bacterial SSU rRNA
Rfam family: Bacterial small subunit ribosomal RNA
Source: RNAcentral
AGUGAACGCUGGCGGCGUGCUUAACACAUGCAAGUCGAACGAGAACGGGCCUUCGGGCUGUCAGCUAAGUGGCGCACGGGUGAGUAAUGUAUAGUUAAUCUGCCCUUUAGAGGGGGAUAACAGUUGGAAACGACUGCUAAUACCCCAUACUCCUUCUGUCUUAAUGAUAGUUGGGAAAUGUUUUUUCGCUAAAGGAUGAGACUAUAUGGUAUCAGGUAGUUGGUGGGGUAAGAGCCCACCAAGCCAAUGACGCCUAGCUGGUCUGAGAGGAUGAUCAGCCACACUGGAACUGAGACACGGUCCAGACUCCUACGGGAGGCAGCAGUGGGGAAUAUUGCACAAUGGACGAAAGUCUGAUGCAGCAACGCCGCGUGGAGGAUGACACAUUUCGGUGCGUAAACUCCUUUUAUAUGGGAAGAUAA